Molecule: ribosomal RNA, 466 nt
Filed under: uncultured bacterium
Lineage: Bacteria
Description: partial 16S ribosomal RNA
Rfam family: Bacterial small subunit ribosomal RNA
Source: RNAcentral
GACGAACGCUGGCGGCGUGCUUAACACAUGCAAGUCGAACGGAAAGGCCCUGCUUGCAGGGUACUCGAGUGGCGAACGGGUGAGUAACACGUGGGUGAUCUGCCCUGUACUUCGGGAUAAGCCUGGGAAACUGGGUCUAAUACCGGAUAGGAGCCAAUUUUAGUGUGUUGGUUGGAAAGUUUUUUUCGGUGUAGGAUGAGCUCGCGGCCUAUCAGCUUGUUGGUGGGGUAAUGGCCUACCAAGGCGGCGGCGGGUAGCCGGCCUGUGAGGGUGGACGGCGACAUUGGGUCUGAGGUACGGCCCAGGCUCCUACGGGAGGCAGCAGUGGGGAAUAUUGCACAGUGGGCGCAAGCCUGAUGCAGCGACGCCGCGUGGGGGAUGACGGCCUUCGGGUUGUAGACUCCUUUCGCUAGGGACGAAGCUUUUUGUGACGGUACCUAGAUAAGAAGCACCGGCUAACUACGUG